UGAACCUCUGCCCAUUUGCUUCAUACAACGAAGUUUCAGAAAAGUGAGCAAAUCCAAUUUGGUGUCCAUACAAUUUGGAGCUCAGGGUACAAGACUGAUUCAUCAGGCUUCAACUCCCUACAGGGAGGGAGAAACACCUGAAGUGAGACUACGAACAGCCUCCUGCAGUGACUCACAGACUUGUUGCCAGGAAGGACAAAAUCCAAGAUCUUCAAUAGCAAAAAUUCAAGCUGUGUGCUACCUACUGCGGGAGCUUAUCUCAAGCUCAAAAGGAGAGUGGCUGAAAUACUGGCAGAUUGGAAGUGAGGGCACAUCUGAACUACAGACUACAGUAUCGUGCAGAGCUGUCGGAGAAGCUGGCAACUGAGAACACUCCAGCCACAGCAG
Molecule: long non-coding RNA, 387 nt
Organism: Dromaius novaehollandiae (emu)
Lineage: Eukaryota; Metazoa; Chordata; Aves; Casuariiformes; Dromaiidae
Exons: 3
Source: RefSeq, a predicted model, not a curated record